RNAcentral lists this ribosomal RNA (932 nucleotides) under Poicephalus gulielmi (red-fronted parrot). RNAcentral describes it as "partial 16S ribosomal RNA". The stretch from base 288 to 932 matches the Rfam family "Archaeal large subunit ribosomal RNA", at positions 1423 to 2684 of the family's 2987-position model. Lineage: Eukaryota; Metazoa; Chordata; Aves; Psittaciformes; Psittacidae. The record is from RNAcentral.
GCUAGAGGAUAACUCCACCCCCCCCCCCCAACCAGUGGGCCCUAAAGCAGCCACCCACAAAGAGUGCGUCAAAGCUCAUUAAGCAAAAAUCCAAAGACUAUACGACUCCCUACACCCUCAGCAGGCCAACCUAUAACAAUAGAUGAAUCAAUGCUAGAACGAGUAACCGAGGCACUACGCCUCCUCAAGCGCUAACCUAGACACCAUUAACAGUGCAACCACAAUACCAAGCCCGCCCCGACCAAACAUUGAACACACCCUGUUAACCCAACCCAGGAGCGCACACCUAGGACGAUUAAAAUCUGCAAAAGGAACUCGGCAAACCCAAGGCCCGACUGUUUACCAAAAACAUAGCCUUCAGCCAAACAAGUAUUGAAGGUGAUGCCUGCCCAGUGACACCACGUUCAACGGCCGCGGUAUCCUAACCGUGCAAAGGUAGCGCAAUCAAUUGUCCCAUAAAUAGAGACUUGUAUGAAUGGCUAAACGAGGCCCUAACUGUCUCCUGCAGAUAAUCAGUGAAACUGAUCCCCCUGUACAAAAGCAGGGAUAGCCACAUAAGACAAGAAGACCCUGUGGAACUUCAAAAUCAGUAGCCACCAACAAAUCACCCCUAAACCUACCAGGCCCACCACCCAAAACAGCUGGCUAACAUUUUUAGGUUGGGGCGACCUUGGAGAAAAACAAACCCUCCAAAAAUAAGGCCAGACCCCCUAACUAAGAGCAACCCCUCAACGUGCCAACAGUACCCAGACCCAAUAAAAUUGACCAAUGAACCAAGCUACCCCAGGGAUAACAGCGCAAUCUCCUUCAAGAGCCCCUAUCGACAAGGAGGUUUACGACCUCGAUGUUGGAUCAGGACAUCCUAGUGGUGCAGCCGCUACUAAGGGUUCGUUUGUUCAACGAUUAAAAGUCCUACGUGAUCUGAGUUCAAA